UUUGUCCAUCCGAUAUCCGUUAUGUAACAGCCACCGUUACACUCAUCGUAGUCUCUGGUGAAUUCUACCGAGAUGGGGGCAGAUCCGAUGACGUGCGUAUACACCGAUUAUUGUUAUUAGUGUCGUAUUCAUCGCGUGUUCCGGUAUUAUAAAGUUGUCGUGGAUUGUUACAGGCCGUAAACACGAAAAAGCAGUCAUGUAAAAUCGUAAACAUGCUUAUAUUAUGUCUGCAGAUAUUAUGCAUAGACCUGUAGGAAUCCGAUAGUCAUAUUUUGUGUGAGACGACUUUUCCAAAUAUCGUGAUUUACACGUUUUCUUUCGGAAAAAUUACGGUGAAAAAUACGGUCGGUCCGUAUCCAAGGUUUUAUAUCAUCUCCACGUUAACAUAAUUUUAAAUGGUUAUGAUACUCGACGUUUUACUGGAUUAUUUUAUUGUUUAAAAACCC
This is a non-coding RNA of Cinara cedri, 446 nucleotides long. The record is from the annotation of a GenBank genome assembly. NCBI's taxonomy places the organism in Eukaryota, Metazoa, Arthropoda, Insecta, Hemiptera, Aphididae.